GCGUAGCUGAUCAUUAAUGCCGCGUGUGUGAAGAAAGCUGCGGGUUGUAAAGCACUUUAAGCAGAGAAGAAGGGGCAGGAGUUAAUACCUUCUGUCAUUGACGUUACCUGCAGAAUAAGCACCGGCUAACUCCGUGCCAACAGCCGCGGUAAUACGGAGGGUGCGAGCGUUAAUCGGAAUUACUGGGCGUACAGCGCGCGUAGGCGGUUGGCUAAGUUUGCUGUGAAAGCCCCGGGCUUAACCUGGGAACUGCCGUGAAUACUGGUCCGCUAGAGUAUGGUAGAGGGUAGUGGAAUCUUCCGGUGUCUCAGUGCCAUGCGUCGAGAUCGGAAGGAAC
Molecule: ribosomal RNA, 337 nt
Filed under: uncultured bacterium
Lineage: Bacteria
Description: bacterial SSU rRNA
Rfam family: Bacterial small subunit ribosomal RNA
Source: RNAcentral